Cyprinus carpio (common carp) is the source of this 703-nucleotide long non-coding RNA. The record is from Ensembl. Lineage: Eukaryota; Metazoa; Chordata; Actinopteri; Cypriniformes; Cyprinidae.
AUGGAAGUUAUACAAGAACGGAACAAUGUCCUUGUUCACAUCAGGCAUGUACAUACAUUUAAAUCACUUUAUGCACUAAAACAUACACUUAUGCCACCUCACAGCAAAACUCCAGAUGUGUCAUGUGGUUUAACUGAGACCUGUUCUGAGGAUGACCACUUUAUUGACAGGCACACUGCACAAUUAAAUGUAACCCUUAAGUCAGAUGCCCUUAUAAAGACUGUAACUUUAAUGUUUGCUCUUCACAGAAAAGUUGUAAUUUACAAUCCUGACAUCACCCAGAUGGUAUUUCAAAGGCCAGAUCUUUUUACUGUAAACCAGAGAGCAGCCCGCAAAAUGGAGCGCAGCUGGAGGAAAACAAAACUAGAGGAUGCAGCUAACAAGAAAGACUCCAGUAAGAAUCCUCAGCAUUGAUCAAGAAAGUCCACAGCUAAACCCAUCUAGAGUGGGAAUCAUCUUGGAAGAAAAUUUUGUAAUGGAUGAACUGACCGAUCUCAGGCCUUCUAUUUUUUUAUUUUUUAUUUUUUUCAGACUGAUUUAUGCCCUGCACCUGGACUAGGUGUAUGAAAAGCUCUUUAUAUUUUAUUCAGUAGGUAAUGCUCAACCUCGGAAAAAGUGAGUUUGCACCUAUAAUUCAGUACUGCCAAUAUUGUGAACUCAAGAGUGGAAUAAAACCAUAUAGUUCUGAUGCUGUUUGUUGUAA